Molecule: small nucleolar RNA, 107 nt
Filed under: Helianthus annuus (common sunflower)
Lineage: Eukaryota; Viridiplantae; Streptophyta; Magnoliopsida; Asterales; Asteraceae
Description: Plant small nucleolar RNA R71
Rfam family: Plant small nucleolar RNA R71
About the family: R71 is a member of the C/D box family of snoRNAs containing the C (UGAUGA) and D (CUGA) box motifs. Multiple nearly identical copies of this snoRNA have been identified in Arabidopsis, and it is thought to function as a 2'-O-ribose methylation guide for 18S ribosomal RNA.
Source: RNAcentral
AGACCAUGAUGAGGACAUUUCCUCAAUAGCUCCUUGAAUCUUUCCCAAGUUUCAUAUAAGGAUUUCCCGUCCUUUUGUGAGUAUGUAUUGAUAGCGGCUUCGAGAUU